AAUAGAUACCCAGGUAGUCCACGCCGUAAACGAUGUCGACUUGGAGGUUGUUCCCUUGAGGAGUGGCUUCCGGAGCUAACGCGUUAAGUCGACCGCCUGGGGAGUACGGCCGCAAGGUUAAAACUCAAAUGAAUUGACGGGGGCCCGCACAAGCGGUGGAGCAUGUGGUUUAAUUCGAUGCAACGCGAAGAACCUUACCUACUCUUGACAUCCAGAGAACUUUCCAGAGAUGGAUUGGUGCCUUCGGGAACUCUGAGACAGGUGCUGCAUGGCUGUCGUCAGCUCGUGUUGUGAAAUGUUGGGUUAAGUCCCGCAACGAGCGCAACCCUUAUCCUUUGUUGCCAGCGGUUCGGCCGGGAACUCAAAGGAGACUGCCAGUGAUAAGCUGGAGGAAGGUGGGGAUGACGUCAAGUCAUCAUGGCCCUUACGAGUAGGGCUACACACGUGCUACAAUGGCGUAUACAAAGAGAAGCGACCUCGCGAGAGCAAGCGGACCUCAUAAAGUACGUCGUAGUCCGGAUUGGAGUCUGC
This 531-nucleotide ribosomal RNA is filed under the name uncultured bacterium. Its description in RNAcentral is "bacterial SSU rRNA". It matches the Rfam family "Bacterial small subunit ribosomal RNA", at positions 777 to 1308 of the family's 1533-position model. The record is from RNAcentral.